GGGCCGGUAGCUCAGCCUGGUUAGAGCGGCGGUCUUAUAAACCGCAGGUCGAGGGUUCGAAUCCCUCCCGGCCCA
Molecule: transfer RNA, 75 nt
Rfam family: tRNA
About the family: Transfer RNA (tRNA) molecules are approximately 80 nucleotides in length. Their secondary structure includes four short double-helical elements and three loops (D, anti-codon, and T loops). Further hydrogen bonds mediate the characteristic L-shaped molecular structure. tRNAs have two regions of fundamental functional importance: the anti-codon, which is responsible for specific mRNA codon recognition, and the 3' end, to which the tRNAs corresponding amino acid is attached (by aminoacyl-tRNA synthetases). tRNAs cope with the degeneracy of the genetic code in two manners: having more than one tRNA (with a specific anti-codon) for a particular amino acid; and 'wobble' base-pairing, i.e. permitting non-standard base-pairing at the 3rd anti-codon position.